This 82-nucleotide transfer RNA is filed under the name Echinostoma caproni. It matches the Rfam family "tRNA". From Rfam's summary of the family: Transfer RNA (tRNA) molecules are approximately 80 nucleotides in length. Their secondary structure includes four short double-helical elements and three loops (D, anti-codon, and T loops). Further hydrogen bonds mediate the characteristic L-shaped molecular structure. tRNAs have two regions of fundamental functional importance: the anti-codon, which is responsible for specific mRNA codon recognition, and the 3' end, to which the tRNAs corresponding amino acid is attached (by aminoacyl-tRNA synthetases). tRNAs cope with the degeneracy of the genetic code in two manners: having more than one tRNA (with a specific anti-codon) for a particular amino acid; and 'wobble' base-pairing, i.e. permitting non-standard base-pairing at the 3rd anti-codon position. The record is from Rfam by way of RNAcentral. Lineage: Eukaryota; Metazoa; Platyhelminthes; Trematoda; Plagiorchiida; Echinostomatidae.
GGCCUUGUAGCUCAGCUGGUAGAGCAUGCGCGUACAAAGCGUAGGCGGUGUCCAUGCGUGGGUUCAAAUCCCACCGAGGCUA